This 396-nucleotide ribosomal RNA is filed under the name uncultured bacterium. RNAcentral's name for it is "partial 16S ribosomal RNA". It matches the Rfam family "Bacterial small subunit ribosomal RNA", at positions 523 to 918 of the family's 1533-position model. The record is from RNAcentral.
AUACGUAGGGGGCGAGCGUUGUCCGGAAUGAUUGGGCGUAAAGGCGCGUAGGCGGCCCGGUAAGUCUGGAGUGAAAGUCCUGUUUUUAAGAUGGGAAUUGCUUUGGAUACUGUCGGGCUUGAGUGCAGGAGAGGUAAGUGGAAUUCCCAGUGUAGCGGUGAAAUGCGUAGAGAUUGGGAGGAACACCAGUGGCGAAGGCGACUUACUGGACUGUAACUGACGCUGAGGCGCGAAAGUGUGGGGAGCAAACAGGAUUAGAUACCCUGGUAGUCCACACUGUAAACGAUGAAUGCUAGGAGUAGGAGGUAUCGACCCCUUCUGUGCCGCAGUAAACACAGUAAGCAUUCCGCCUGGGGAGUACGGUCGCAAGAUUAAAACUUAAAUGAAUUGACGGGG